GACGAACGCUGGCGGCGUGCUUAACACAUGCAAGUCGAACAGUGGCGAACGGGUGAGUAACACGUGAGUAACCUGCCCUCCAUUUUGGGAUAACUCCGAGAAAUCGGGGCUAAUACUGGAUAGUGGGGGAUGGGUUCGUGGCCUACUAGUUUGUUGGCGAGGUAGUGGUCACCAAGGCGUGAUGGGUAGCCGGCCUGAGGGGGCGACCGGCCACACUAGGACUGAGACACGGACCAGACUCCUACGGGAGGCAGCAGUGGGGAAUAUUGCGCAAUGGGCGAGAGCCUGAUGCAGCGACGCCGCGUGGGGGAUGACGGCCUUCGGGUUGUAAACCUCUUUCAGCAAGGAAGCGGUACUUGCAGAAGAAGCGCCGGCUAACUACGUGCCAGCAGCCGCGGUAAUAC
RNAcentral lists this ribosomal RNA (404 nucleotides) under uncultured bacterium. Its description in RNAcentral is "partial 16S ribosomal RNA". It matches the Rfam family "Bacterial small subunit ribosomal RNA", at positions 28 to 526 of the family's 1533-position model. The record is from RNAcentral.